Molecule: small RNA, 155 nt
Filed under: Streptomyces sp.
Lineage: Bacteria; Bacillati; Actinomycetota; Actinomycetes; Kitasatosporales; Streptomycetaceae
Also listed under: 1 other name
Description: c-di-AMP sequence
Rfam family: c-di-AMP riboswitch aptamer (ydaO/yuaA leader)
About the family: This family represents a conserved RNA structure found upstream of the ydaO and yuaA genes in Bacillus subtilis and related genes in other bacteria. The ydaO/yuaA element is thought to act as a genetic "off" switch for the ydaO and yuaA genes in its native state.
Source: RNAcentral
CCCGCACACCCACCCGUGCACGGCAGGAGCGGGGGACCCACGAACCACUGCCUGUUCCGGUCUUCCGGAACUGGCUCGGGGUGAAGCCGCGGUGCGCGGCCGGGCAGCUCCAGCCCGAACCCGACAGCUCACCUCGCAGGCGCCGGAGAGGAAUG